Molecule: unclassified non-coding RNA, 237 nt
Filed under: Hevea brasiliensis (rubber tree)
Lineage: Eukaryota; Viridiplantae; Streptophyta; Magnoliopsida; Malpighiales; Euphorbiaceae
Source: RNAcentral
UGCCAGGUGUGGAUGUUCAUAUACAAUGCAAAUUCAAUGAAAACUCGCCUAAAACAGCAGAGCAGAUAAACUUCUCGGUGAACCGAACAACAGAUAGAUAUGGGACAUACAACCUGGAAGUACCACAAAUUGAAGGUGUUGAUUGUGUAGAUGGUGCAGCAAUUGAAUCUUUGUGCCAGGCAAGUUUAAUAAACAGCUCAUCUUCAGCCUGUGAUGUUCCUGGAUUAAAGACAACAA